Molecule: ribosomal RNA, 253 nt
Filed under: uncultured bacterium
Lineage: Bacteria
Description: partial 16S ribosomal RNA
Rfam family: Bacterial small subunit ribosomal RNA
Source: RNAcentral
UACGGGGGGGGCAAGCGUUGUUCGGAAUUACUGGGCGUAAAGCGCGCGCAGGCGGCUAUCCAAGUCAGGGGUGAAAUCCUGGAGCUCAACUCCAGAACUGCCUUUGAUACUGAGGAUCUUGAGUUCGGGAGAGGUGAGUGGAAUUCCUAGUGUAGAGGUGAAAUUCGUAGAUAUUAGGAAGAACACCAGUGGCGAAGGCGGCUCACUGGCCCGGUACUGACGCUGAGGCGCGAAAGCGUUGGGAGCAAACAGG